Molecule: long non-coding RNA, 524 nt
Filed under: Ananas comosus (pineapple)
Lineage: Eukaryota; Viridiplantae; Streptophyta; Magnoliopsida; Poales; Bromeliaceae
Description: long non-coding RNA (ACOM_LNC030220)
Source: RNAcentral
UCUAUAUUUUAUAGUGUAUAAUAUAUAUAGAGUCCGGCUGGGAUAUCAAUAGCACCAAGCGUUUGGUGCUAUCGAGUUUUCUAUUGUUAGAUGUAACCCUUUGACUAUUUUCACUCGUUAGAUUAUUAUACUAUUAAACCAAUAACUCACUCAACCCUAAAUGGCCCAUAUCAUCCUAACCGUACAAUUUUUCAUCCAAGGGCCGAAAAUCUAAUAGUACCAAUAACUUGGUGCUAUUGAUAGUAUUCCAGCCUAGUUCAUAUUAGACCUGACAAACGAGUGGAUUGGGUAAACCGUGGGCGGGUCAUUAUACUCGCGGGUUACUUAGGCAUGGGUAAAAUUUACCCGCAAAUUUUUGGAUAGCCAACAUCAUUAUCCAUACCCGCCCGCGGGUGGGCGGGUGGGUAUGCGGGUUACCCGCAAUUUUUUUUAUUUUCUUUUUUAUAUUUUUUAAAUGCAAAAUUAGACCUGACAAACGAGUGGAUUGGGUAAACCGUGGGCGGGUCAUUAUACUCGCGGGUUAC